UACAGAGGUGCCGAGCGUUAGGCGGAAUCACUGGGCUUAAAGCGUGUGUAGGCGGAUGCCUAAGUACCUUGUGAAAUCCCACGGCUUAACCGUGGAACUGCUCGGUAUACUGGGUGUCUUGAGCCACUUAGGGGUUACCGGAACAAAUGGUGGAGCGGUGAAAUGCGUAGAUAUCAUUUGGAACGCCAAUGGUGAAAACAGGUAACUGGGAGUGUGCUGACGCUGAGACACGAAAGCCAGGGGAGCGAACGG
This 252-nucleotide ribosomal RNA is filed under the name uncultured bacterium. Its description in RNAcentral is "partial 16S ribosomal RNA". It matches the Rfam family "Bacterial small subunit ribosomal RNA", at positions 524 to 775 of the family's 1533-position model. The record is from RNAcentral.